This 548-nucleotide long non-coding RNA is filed under the name Heterocephalus glaber (naked mole-rat). RNAcentral's name for it is "lncRNA (ENSHGLG00000032743.1)". Lineage: Eukaryota; Metazoa; Chordata; Mammalia; Rodentia; Bathyergidae. The record is from RNAcentral.
ACCCCACACACCUGCUGCCCGCCGCCGGCCGAGGGGCCCAGGGGGGCCUCACAGACUGAGAAAUCCCAGGGCGCAGCUCUCCGCUCCGCCCCGCCUCGCCCUCCGCCCGCUCUCCUCUUCUUUGUCUUCCUUCUGCUGCGCUUCAGCUCCUCUCCCCCUCCCCCGGCGGCGGCAGCGUGGAACCCAUGGGAGGAACCCAGUGCCCAGAGGGUCCCAGCUUCCAGCUGUUACCUUCCUACAGCUCAGAGAGGUUGCAGGACUUACUGGAAGACACCCAGCAGUCCCUCCUGGAGGCUCCGUUCCCCAGCGUGCUCUGCCACGAAGGAUCCCAGGAGGGGAGCAGCUGCCUCCCCAAGGGGCGCAUCAGUGCCUGAGGGGCACCCGGCGAGACGGCACAGGUGCUGGGGAGGGACCAGGCCCUGGGGGUGACCAUGAGCAGAGACACCCCUGUGUACCCAGACGCAGACGCCAUGGGCUACCAGUCAUGGGAGGGGAGAUGUUUUUAAACAAUUUAACAUGUUUUUUCUUUAAUGCAUUAAAGUGCUGCU